AGUGCCUGCCUGGAGCCUGGUUUGGUUACAGAAGCAGAAAGUACUAAAGGCAAGAGAGCAAGAGCAGUGGUUCCAAAACUUGCUUUAAAUAGAAGGGAAAACGAAGCCACUUGGAGUAGAUCUUUGCUAAGCAAAAGGGAAGAAGAAGUUUAGAGGAAGAUAAAAGAAUUUUACUAGUGUAGCAGGAUGCUGUAGGAUCCUGAAGGACUUUGGGCUUGUCAGAAAGUUGAUCUGCAGGUUGGUUAAAUGACAUGCUGUCCAGGAGACAUGCAGUGAAAUUUUGCUACCUGAGGCACUGGAACCAGUACAUAAUUGUGUCUUGAGUGUGAAAAGGGAUCAGUAAAAUCCCAUGUCUCUUCUGUGGUUUCCAAGCCUUCUAACCCCUGUGAAACCUAAACAAUGAAUAACCUUUCUAAUUACUGGGGGACUAAAAUACCAUGUCUAGUGUAUGGAGUCCUCAUCUCAGUUGUAAUUAGUAUUGGACCUCAUAUGCUUUAGGUUUUAUAGUACCUACAGAAGGCAUGGAAUAUUGAAGCUCAUUCUUUUAUUCUUCAUACCUUUACCAUAAAAUUACUUUUUGCCAAUGCUUAAAGCAAUAUCAAAUGUAGUAUUAAUUGAACAGUGUUUUCUCAUGACCUAUUUGUUAUUGCUUUAAGUUAUACCGAGCUGCUUGUGAAGCACAAAAAAGGCAUAAAAAAAUAAUUAAUUUUCUGAGUGAAAGCAGUUGGUUUUGUCAUCAACAGAGAGAAUUAAGUGUGUGUGAAUUAACCUCAAUCCUCAGCUACAGCUAAGCUGUUCCAAUGAUGGGAAAAAGAAAUUUGAAUACAUCUCAGUUAAUCAGGAUGCACAUCUUUAUGAAAGUCAUUUAAUUGAGAGAUCUUUCGGGGAACAGAUUUAACCUUAUAAUACUGAAAAUCAAUAAUGGCAGCUUAAUGGAGGACAUGUUAUUGCUUGGUAGAUUGUCUAGGGGCAUAAUACUGAAGUCUAUGUCUUUUGUGUAUCUGGUGUUUGUUCUCACCUGCUUAUUAAUUUAUUAACUCUGAAAACUUCCCUUGAACACAUAUGCUGUGUUCCAGUGGCUAAGUCUACAGCUGAGAAACUAGCUGUUAUUACUACACAUGGCCAGAUCUAAACUACGUGUAAUAGAAGUGUUAAAAGAAGUGAACAAAACUAUCUUUUAAAGCAAUACAUCCUUGCCAUUUCCUGCAAGUUAUUCAUAUGCAAACUUUAAAAAUAUUUCUGAAUAUUAUUUCUAAAAGUGAUAAGUACAUUUUCCACUUGUCAACACUGGUAGUAGAACUUCCCAGGGUACUGGUAACCGCACAAAUUGGUGACAUGAAUUAUUAAUUACACAAAUGAUUUUGGCAUAAUGUGGAUGUUGGUUUCAUGGCAGAUCCUGAAAAUGUUUCAUUGCAGUUUCAUCUCACAGCUGCCUGUCUUGAUGUCAAGGGGCAAAAUGCAGGCUCUGCCACUAUGCAAAUGCAUACCCUCAUUCCCUCUGCUAGCAUGCUUAUGUCCCAAGGCUGCCCAGAAGAUCACACUUGGAGCUAUCAAACAUUAGGAUAAUGAGUGCACUCGCAGGUACAACUUUUACGUGCCUUCCAUGUCAUGCACUACUCUGGAUGCAGAAGUGUGUCCAACAGGUUUGUUUAUUCUAAAAAUUACCUCCAAUAUUCUAACCAGCAGUACAUAUACAGUACAUAUGCAUCUCAGCAUAUGGAUCAUAGUUACCAAGCAGGAGACUCUAGGUGCUAUUUUAUCAUCAUAUGAAUUCUUCUGUGUUGAAGCUUGACAUAUUCUCCACAAGCUCCUCAGCAAAUCAUUUAAUCUCUAACUUUCUCACUAUUGGUAGUGAGGGAAAUUGAGUUGAAGAAUGAAAGAAGGAGUUUAAAAUCUCUUUUAUUGGGAAAAUCCCAAAGAAUAAAAACAUUUCAUUCUGUGGGAUGAUCUUUUCUGCAGUGUUUUAAUGCAGCAACUGACAGGAACGUGAAAUGGCUUCAAGGUGCUGUGAGACCCUUCUUUGUCUUCUGUCUCAAAGCUUGCUUCCUGAGGUAUUUCUUGUAAUAAGACUCUUAACUGAUUUGUGGAGAUGGCAAAUGAUGGGUGCUACCGUGUGACAGUCAACAUCAUUUCAACAUUUGAAAGCACCUUCCUCCAGAGCUGCUUGCCUCCGGAAGAGAGUGCUCAGAAUUGGUUACUGGUGGAAGAUCUGGCCUAAUAGCCCCAGCUUGGUGUGGGAAAACUGGGGAACGACACCAUCGUACUCUGUGAAAAACAGGAUGCAGAUGGACAUCCCUGCUUCCUCUUAUCUGCUAAGGCCCAGAAGAUGAAUUUCUGCUGAGAUCCCAGACCCAGUAGCUGCCACUCCAAGGAGAGCUGACUCAACCACUUUGGAUUCAAGCUGUCACUCAAAGGAGAGCUGACUCAACCACUUUGGACUUUUAUAAGUUUGUACUGCCAUUGUCAUUGUCAUCGUUGCUGUGGUCACCAUCAUCAACAGAACACCCAACGACCCACCACUACUGAACAUCAAUGACUGAACUACGAACCACAUUGAACCAUGGUCAUAUCUCCCUCCUGCUUCCUGUACGGACUCCUUGCUUCUAUUUCCUAUCUUUUCUGUUGCCCUUCUCCUCCUCCCCAUCUGCCUGAACGACUAGGAUUUGUAAUAAACUGUUCAGACCAACAUU
Molecule: long non-coding RNA, 2690 nt
Organism: Gallus gallus (chicken)
Lineage: Eukaryota; Metazoa; Chordata; Aves; Galliformes; Phasianidae
Source: Ensembl